GACGAACGCUGGCGGCGUGCUUAACACAUGCAAGUCGAACGAAGAGCGAUGGAAGCUUGCUUCUAUCAAUCUUAGUGGCGAACGGGUGAGUAACGCGUAAUCAACCUGCCCUUCAGAGGGGGACAACAGUUGGAAACGACUGCUAAUACCGCAUACGAUCUAAUCUCGGCAUCGAGGAUAGAUGAAAGGUGGCCUCUACAUGUAAGCUAUCACUGAAGGAGGGGAUUGCGUCUGAUUAGCUAGUUGGAGGGGUAACGGCCCACCAAGGCGAUGAUCAGUAGCCGGUCUGAGAGGAGGAACGGCCACAUUGGGACUGAGACACGGCCCAGCAUCCUACGGGAGGCAGCAGUGGGGAAUCUUCCGCAAUGGACGAAAGUCUGACGGAGCAACGCCGCGUGAGCGAUGACGGCCUUCGGGUUGUAAAGCUCUGUUAAUCGGGACGAAAGGCCUCCUUGCGAAUAGUGAGAAGGAUUGACGGUACCGGAAUAGAAAGCCACGGCUAACUACGUG
RNAcentral lists this ribosomal RNA (510 nucleotides) under uncultured bacterium. Its description in RNAcentral is "partial 16S ribosomal RNA". It matches the Rfam family "Bacterial small subunit ribosomal RNA", at positions 28 to 507 of the family's 1533-position model. The record is from RNAcentral.